AUUGAACGCUGGCGGCAGGCCUAACACAUGCAUGUCGAGCGGAUGAAGGGAGCUUGCUCCUGGAUUCAGCGGCGGACGGGUGAGUAAUGCCUAGGAAUCUGCCUGGUAGUGGGGGAUAACGUCCGGAAACGGGCGCUAAUACCGCAUACGUCCUGAGGGAGAAAGUGGGGGAUCUUCGGACCUCACGCUAUCAGAUGAGCCUAGGUCGGAUUAGCUAGUUGGUGGGGUAAAGGCCUACCAAGGCGACGAUCCGUAACUGGUCUGAGAGGAUGAUCAGUCACACUGGAACUGGGACACGGUCCAGACUCCUACGGGAGGCAGCAGUGGGGAAUAUUGGACAAUGGGCGAAAGCCUGAUCCAGCCAUGCCGCGUGUGUGAAGAAGGUCUUCGGAUUGUAAAGCACUUUAAGUUGGGAGGAAGGGCAGUAAGUUAAUACCUUGCUGUUUUGACGUUACCAACAGAAUAAGCACCGGCUAACUUCGUG
RNAcentral lists this ribosomal RNA (484 nucleotides) under uncultured bacterium. RNAcentral describes it as "partial 16S ribosomal RNA". It matches the Rfam family "Bacterial small subunit ribosomal RNA", at positions 30 to 507 of the family's 1533-position model. The record is from RNAcentral.